This 253-nucleotide ribosomal RNA is filed under the name uncultured bacterium. RNAcentral's name for it is "partial 16S ribosomal RNA". It matches the Rfam family "Bacterial small subunit ribosomal RNA", at positions 524 to 776 of the family's 1533-position model. The record is from RNAcentral.
UACGUAGGGGGCGAGCGUUGUCCGGAAUUAUUGGGCGUAAAGAGCGUGUAGGCGGUUCGGUAAGUCUGCCGUGAAAACCUGAGGCUCAACCUCGGGCGUGCGGUGGAUACUGCCGGGCUAGAGGACGGUAGAGGCGAGUGGAAUUCCCGGUGUAGCGGUGAAAUGCGCAGAUAUCAGGAGGAACACCGAUGGCGAAGGCAGGUCUCUGGGCAUUAACUGACGCUGAGGAGCGAAAGCAUGGGGAGCGAACAGG